UAUAUAUUGAUAAUGACMGUAUAUAUAUCGUGUCUUGACUAAUUGCGUGCCAGCAGUCGCGGUAAUACGUAAGAGACUAGUGUUAUUCAUCUUAAUUAGGUUUAAAGGGUACCUAGGCGGUCAAUAUAGCUUCUAGAAUGUUAGUACUUGACUAGAGUUUUAUGUAAGAGGGCAGUACUUGAGGAGGAGAGAUGAAAUUCUAUGAUACCAAAGGGACUCGGUAAAGGCGAAGGCAGCCUUCUAUGUAAAAACUGACGUUAAAGGACGAAGGCACAGAGCACAAACCAGGAUUAGAUACCCAAGUAGUCUUUGCAGUAAAUGAUGAAUGCCAUAGGUUAGAUUAAGAUUUAAUAUUAUAAUUAUAAAUUAAAUAUUAAACAUUAUUUGGUCUAUAAAUGAAAGUGUAAG
RNAcentral lists this ribosomal RNA (408 nucleotides) under Trichoderma novae-zelandiae. Its description in RNAcentral is "SSU rRNA". Lineage: Eukaryota; Fungi; Ascomycota; Sordariomycetes; Hypocreales; Hypocreaceae. The record is from RNAcentral.